AACUCUUAACAACGGAUAUCUUGGUUCUCGCAACGAUGAAGAACGCAGCGAAAUGCGAUACGUAAUGUGAAUUGCAGAAUUGAGUGAAUCAUCAAAAUUUUGAACGCAUAUUGCGCUCUGGGGUAUUCCCCAGAGCAUGCCUGUUUGAGUGUCA
This 154-nucleotide ribosomal RNA is filed under the name Fabomonas mesopelagica. Its description in RNAcentral is "Fabomonas sp. GTor-2021a 5.8S ribosomal RNA". It matches the Rfam family "5.8S ribosomal RNA". Rfam says of the family: 5.8S ribosomal RNA (5.8S rRNA) is a component of the large subunit of the eukaryotic ribosome. Lineage: Eukaryota; Ancyromonadida; Planomonadidae. The record is from RNAcentral.